AACGAACGCUGGCGGCAUGCCUAACACAUGCAAGUCGAACGAGACCUUCGGGUCUAGUGGCGCACGGGUGCGUAACGCGUGGGAACCUGCCCUUAGGUUCGGAAUAACUCCCCGAAAGGGGUGCUAAUACCGGAUAAUGUCUUCGGACCAAAGAUUUAUCGCCUUUGGAUGGGCCCGCGUUGGAUUAGCUAGUUGGUAGGGUAAAAGCCUACCAAGGCGACGAUCCAUAGCUGGUCUGAGAGGAUGAUCAGCCACACUGGGACUGAGACACGGCCCAGACUCCUACGGGAGGCAGCAGUGGGGAAUAUUGGACAAUGGGCGAAAGCCUGAUCCAGCACUGCCGCGUGAGCGAUGAAGGCCUUAGGGUUGUAAAGCUCUUUUACCCGGGAUGAUAAUGACAGUACCGGGAGAAUAAGCUCCGGCUAACUCCGUG
This 433-nucleotide ribosomal RNA is filed under the name uncultured bacterium. RNAcentral describes it as "partial 16S ribosomal RNA". It matches the Rfam family "Bacterial small subunit ribosomal RNA", at positions 29 to 507 of the family's 1533-position model. The record is from RNAcentral.